UAGCUCAGUCAGUUGAGCGUGGCACUAACAACGCUAAGGGCACGGGUUCGAUUCCCAU
RNAcentral lists this transfer RNA (58 nucleotides) under Apaloderma vittatum (bar-tailed trogon). It matches the Rfam family "tRNA", at positions 8 to 63 of the family's 71-position model. Rfam says of the family: Transfer RNA (tRNA) molecules are approximately 80 nucleotides in length. Their secondary structure includes four short double-helical elements and three loops (D, anti-codon, and T loops). Lineage: Eukaryota; Metazoa; Chordata; Aves; Trogoniformes; Trogonidae. The record is from Rfam by way of RNAcentral.